UAGUCCACGCCGUAAACGAUGAAUGCUAGUCGUCAGGGGGCAUGCCCUUUGGUGACGCAGCUAACGCAUUAAGCAUUCCGCCUGGGGAGUACGAUCGCAAGAUUAGAACUCAAAGGAAUUGACGGGGGCCCGCACAAGCAGUGGAGCAUGUGGUUUAAUUCGAAGCAACGCGCAGAACCUUACCACCACUUGACAUCACCAUCGCGAUUUCCGGAGACGGAUUUCUUCAGUUCGGCUGGAUGGAUGACAGGUGCUGCAUGGCUGUCGUCAGCUCGUGUCGUGAGAUGUUGGGUUAAGUCCCGCAACGAGCGCAACCCUCGCCUUUAGUUGCCAGCAGUUCGGCUGGGCACUCUAGAGGAACCGCCGGUGAUAAGCCGGAGGAAGGUGGGGAUGACGUCAAGUCCUCAUGGCCCUUACGUGGUGGGCUACACACGUGCUACAAUGGCGAUGACAGUAGGUUACUAACCGAAAAUCGUCUCAGUUCGGAUUGGGUCGU
RNAcentral lists this ribosomal RNA (496 nucleotides) under uncultured bacterium. RNAcentral's name for it is "bacterial SSU rRNA". It matches the Rfam family "Bacterial small subunit ribosomal RNA", at positions 791 to 1306 of the family's 1533-position model. The record is from RNAcentral.